RNAcentral lists this long non-coding RNA (9658 nucleotides) under Zea mays. RNAcentral's name for it is "long non-coding RNA (ZMAY_LNC002442)". The record is from RNAcentral. Lineage: Eukaryota; Viridiplantae; Streptophyta; Magnoliopsida; Poales; Poaceae.
UUAUCCCCACGCUUCUCCACUCAAGUACGCCAGCCGCACCCUGCUGGUUCAUUCGUGGAUGUCUCCUUUACCAUGCCUCAUGCCGAUUUCCAGGUUCUCUCCAGCCGCUCGGGCUCCCACCCCGCGCGCCCACUGCCUGGUGGGCACCGCUCCAGCUGCUCCCAUGGUGAGCUUGCCCUCCCUCUGUGCCCUGCCCCCUAUACGGCGCCCUCCCUGCUCCUCUCUCCCUCAUCUCUGCAACUUGGACAACUGCCCUAAAGCUCGCCCAAGCCGUGACCUAGCCGCUGUGUCCCUACUCCCUGCAUCACCUCUGCAUGCCAGCAAUCGCUUCAUCUUCCUCCUUCAGCUGAGCUCGCCCAGCCCCAUCUCCCCUGCAUCUCCCUUGGCUCACGAUGUCGGGCUCUAGGUUCGGCGCCCCUUCAUCCGGGUCACCGGCAACCUGCUCAUGCUCACGGAUGGCUAAUCUUUACCGCACGUGUACAACGCCGUCGAUUUCCACCACCUAUAACUGUUCCUUUGACCUUGUUGUUCAUCAUGGUUGUGCAUCGCGCAGCAGGUGUUCGACAAAAAGUCUAGUCCAGGAUUCCGACUCAACCUCGACCCUGCCAUCAUUGAAGGUCCUGCUAUCCCUUUGUUGUUCAUCGUCAUCAAGUUUUCCUUGCUAUUGUCUCACUUCUUUACUUUAGCUUUUGGGUAGUAAUUUCUUGAUAAAUCUCUUGUUUCUUGUAUGUUUAGAUGUGUGCGGCUGAGGGGCAUUCACAUAUGGGUGUUCAUGUCUAGUAUGAUUAAUUAGGUCCUUUGUAUGUAGAGUGUGGUGCAUUGGUGAUGCACAUAAUAGAUUUUGUGUUUCAAAUUUGGUUAAUGAGUCGAUGUCUUGCUCAAGUAAUUGUUAUAUUCUAGAUUUAGUGAUCGGUUGCGUGCCGUGGAGAAGGUUGCAUACUACCCUAAGUGGUUAAAAGUGAAUAACAUCAACAAGUCUAUUCCAGUUAGAAUCUAGAAAUUUCAUGACUAAAAGGAAUGCACAUCAAUACAUUAAGUCUUUGGUUAAUAAAAAUACUAUCAUGGGAUUUUAUGUUAUUUGAUAAUAAUCACCCCCACUAGAUUAAAUUUAUUUGAUGUAUGUGCUAUGAGUAUCUUCAUGAUUAAAGUAAUUUCCCUGCAUUUGUGUUGUGGGGUUUAGGCUUGAAGUGCUUAUUCGGGAAGGAGUGUUAGCGAAUAUAAAGGUUGAGUGUGAUUUAAUAAGUUCUAUUGUUGGAUUACUAUGUUUAGGUUGAUUCCUUUCUCUUGUGUAAGGCUUGCAUGCUAAUAUUCCUGCGUACGUAGAUGGAUUCCAUUCCCUGGUGUAAGGCUUGCAUGCCACUACUCCAGCGUACACACAUGUCAGGGUCCCAAUUAGGCGAUCACCUUCCUAGCACCGGGCACUGUUUCUAUAAACCGGUUGUCUACGAAAGGAGUCCGACCUAUAUUUAUGUUGGCUGAUCCUCACAUUACACUAUGAAUUAUUACUCUGUCAUGGUAUCACAGAGGUUCAUUCCGAACCACAACUUCCGCAUUUUCUAGCCACGCCACCCUGCCACCUCGUCGCCUUGGCCAACGACGCUGCCGCUGUCGCUGCUCGUCAUGCCUUGGAGCAGCGUGUUGCUGGCUUUACUGCUGAAGAACGCUGUGAGGCUGCUCGCCAAGAAGCUGCGCGCUAGGAGGCCGCGCGCUUGGAGCAGGAAAGACGCGACGCCGAUGCCCAUGUGCUGGUCGUCACCGGUGAGGUUGCCGCGGCUACUGCUGCGCUUCAUGCUGAAGCUGCGGCGAUCCUCAACGUCAAGUCUCUUGUCCCCAUCGUCCUUGACUUCACGUCGCCCCACUACAACAGAUGGCGUGGCCUCUUCCUCAACACUCUCGAGCGCUAUGCGCUCGUUGAUCAUGUGCUUUCCGACGAUGAUCGCUCCAAUGAUGCCAUGUGGAAGCGCAUGGACUGCACCGUCCUAUCCUGGCUCUAUGGUACGAUUAAUCCCGAGCUUCUCGAGGUUGUCAUGAACCGGGACGAUGGUCCUCCCACUGCUCGCCUUGUGUGGCUUGGACUGGAGCAGCAGUUCAUUGGGAACAAGGAGAGUCGUGCUCUUCUUCUCGAUGCCGAGUUCCACACCUUCGUCCAAGGCAGCCUGUCCAUCUCUAACUAUUGCCACUGGUUCAAGUCCAUGGCUGACCAACUUGUGGAUCUUGGCGAACCUGUUCGUGACCACACCUUGGUGCUCAACGUCAUUUGCGGCCUCAACGAUCGGUUCUCCUACCUCGGCACGCUGAUUCAACGUCAACGUCCGUUCCAGACAUUCGCUGAAGUGAAGUCCAAUCUUCGCCUUGCCGAGAUCAACAUGACUGCCAAGACUGCCUAGCCGUCUUAGGCCUUUGCUGCCUCAACUCCUCAUCCUCCUAUGCUGCCAUCGGACAACUUCGGCAGAUUCGGCGGUGGCCGCAAGCCGUCCAGGCAUGGCGGCGGUAAGAAAACCCAUGGAGGCGGUCACGGUUCCGGCCCUAGACCAGUCACUGCACCUUGGGCUGGUCAUCCAUCACGACCAAUGCCCUGCCAGCCUGCCUUUGGCAUGUUCCAGGCGUAUUGGGCUGGACCACCAGGAGUCUAGCCCCGUGCCCCUGGUUCUACACCGCAGGCGUUUUACAGUGGGCCUUCUGUGCUUCUUGGGCCGCCUCCGAUGCUGUCCGGGCCGCCCCCGAUGGUGCCCUUGCUAGGGCCGUUCCUUCCACCGGUAGCCUCGCCUGGGUCGUCUCUGCCGCCUGCACUAGGCUUCCUCGACGCCGGCCCACCACCACAAGGGUGGCUGCAUCCCGGCUUCUCCUGGGAUUCCAACAUGCUGGCCUCCAACUUCAACAUGAUGACACUUCAGCCACCACCAACUCACGAAUGGUAUAUGGAUACAGGUGCUGAAACUCACAUGACAUCUAACUCCGUUAAUCUUUGCACCUUUCAAACUCCUUCCUUUUUUACUCCAUCCAAUAUUGUCGUUGGCACUGGUUCUCUUUUACCUGUCACUCACACCGGCUCUGUCACCUUUCCUGCAGCAUGUGGUCCUCUACACCUAAAUAAUGUUAUUGUUUCUCCCCACCUCAUUAAGAAUCUCAUUUUUGUUCGACAAUUCACUAUUGACAAUAAAUGUUCUGUUGAAUUUGAUCCUUCUGGUUUUUCUGUAAAGGGCCUCGAAACUCGGAACGUGAUCAUCAGGUGCAAUAGCUCCGGUCCGCUAUAUUCGCUUCUGUCAUCGGUCUUUCGACCCUUAGCACUCGCUGCCGGCAUCUCUUCUUCCACUCUUUGGCAUGUGCGUCUUGGACACCUUGGUCAUGAGGCUUUGUCUAGUCUAGUGUCAUCAUGCGCUAUUACUUGUAAUAAGAGUGAUUCCGAUCAUUUGUGUCAUGCCUGUCAAUUAGGUCAUCAUGUGCGUCUUCUCUUUCCCACCUCCAGUUCGAGAGCAACCAAUAAUUUUGAUUUAAUACAUUGUGAUCUUUGGACAUCCCCUGUUCCUAGUAUUUCUGGCUACAAAUAUUACUUAGUCAUUCUUGAUGAUUGCUCUCACUUCCUCUGGACUUCCCCUUUGUGUCUUAAGUCCGACACUUUUUCCACUCUUACUCAUUUUUUGCCUAUGUCUCCACUUAGUUUGGCGUCACCAUUAAAAGCAUCCAGUGCGAUAAUGGUCGUGAGUUUGAUAACUCCUCCUCCCGCACAUUCUUUGCUACACAUGAUGUCAUUCUCUGCAUGUCUUGUCCCCAUACCUUGCCACAAAAUGGAAAGGCUGAGCGAAUUAUUCGCACCACCAACAAUAUCCUUCGCUCGCUCCUAUUCCAAGCCAGCAUGCCCCCGUCCUACUGGGUCGAGGCCCUUCAUACUGCCACAUAUCUUCUCAAUCGCCAUCUCACUAAAACCUUGGCCUCCGCCACACCCUUCCUGGCACUAUUCAAAGCACAACCCUCCUAUGACCAUGUUUGUGUCUUUGGAUGUAGUUGUUAUCCUAAUCUCUCCUUCACUGCUGCACACAAGCUAGCCCCACGCUCAGCUGCCUGUGUCUUCCUCAGCUAUCCCUCCGAUCAUAAAGGGUAUCGUUGUCUUGAUCUUUCUACCAAUCGAAUUAUAAUCUCACGUCAUGUUAUUUUUAUGAUACUUCAUUUUCUUUCUCUGAAGUCUCUUCACCUCCUUCAUCUGACUUUGACUUUCUAUCGGAGUUUGAUGAUGCACCUGUUAUUUCUCCUGGAAUCUCAAUAUUUCAGGUACAACGGCUCGACAUACUGCUGCCCUAUUGGCCCCUCGCCCUAGGUUGCUGCCAGCGGUACCACACAGUUCCCGGCUUCGGCGUCCACAAGGGUGGCUUGCACUCCAUCUAGCGUGUCCGCCCCUGCGUACCCUAGUUCCACACCUACCACCACCUCGACCUCGUCUACUCCAGCCACUGCUGCCUCUCCGGAGCCUGCUGAGGAACACAUCACCCGUGCUCCUACUGGGAACGCGUAUGGGAGCGCUGCCCCUACGGCGCCUGGUUCGGCCAGCACCACUGGUGCUUAUUCAGGCGACGUGCAUGGGAGCGCAGCUCUGCACGACACGAUACCUCUUCUCGAGCGGGCAUCGCCUCCCCAUGUUGUGGCUGUUCAGCCUCCAGCCAAUGACCACAGCAUGCUGACGCGUGGCAAACGGGGUUUUCGUCAACCAAAGGUAUUGCUUGAUCUGCAUGCUGCUCCUUUGUCUCCCGUGCCAAAAUCAUACAGUGGGGCAUUGGCUGAUCCAAAUUGGAGGGCUGCUAUGUCUGAGGAAUUUUUUGCACUACAAAAGAAUAACACUUGGGACUUUGUUCCUCGUCCUUCGGGUGCUAAUAUUGUGACUGGCAAAUGGGUUUAUCGUUACAAGUUUCGUUCCAAUGGUUCCCUAGAGUGGUACAAGGCACGCUGGGUUCUUCGUGGUUUCACUCAAUGCCCUGGAAUUGAUUUUGAUGAGACUUUUCAGUCCAGUUGUCAAACCUGCUACCAUUCGUACAGUGCUUACAGUGGCUCUCUUCCAUAGUUGGUCUGUCCAUCAUCUUGAUGUGAAGAAUGCGUUCUUGCAUGACACCCUUGAUGAGACUGUCUAUUGUGUGCAACCUGCUGGUUUUGUUGAUAUCUCUCGGCCUGAUCAUGUAUGUUGUCUGAACAAGUCUCUUUAUGGGUUGAAACAAGCUCUGCGUGCCUGGUAUAGUCGUUUUGCCACUCACAUUCUCUCUCUUGGCUUUGUGAGUGCCAAAUCUGACACAUCUUUGUUUACAUAUCAACAUGGCCAUGACACAAUUUAUUUACUUCUAUAUGUGGAUGAUAUUAUGUUGACAGCAUCUUCAGACUCCCUACUUUAGUGGGUGAUUGCAGCUCUGCAACAAGAAUUUUGUAUGACAGAUCUCAGCCCUUUGCACCAUUUUCUUGGUCUCAUGGUGACACAACAGCCUGAUGGGUUUUAUCUUUCCCAGCGGCAAUAUAUUCUUGAGGUUCUUGAACGUGCGGGUAUGACAGAUUGCAAGCCAUGUUCUACUCCUAUUGACACGAGUAGCAAGCUUUCUGGUACUAAAGGGCCACCUGUUGCUGAUCCGACUCACUAUCGGGGUUUGGCCGGUGCACUGCAGUAUAUCACCUUCACUCGGCCUGGCAUUUCUUAUGCUAUUCAACAAGUUUGUCUUCACAUGCAUGAUCCUCGGGAACCACAUUACAUGUUGAUCAAACGUAUUCUUUGCUAUCUGCAUGGGACAUUGAAUCAUGGCCUACAUCUUGGUCCCACAGAUGUCUCUACAUUGGUUGCCUACUCUGAUGCUGAUUGGGCUGGUUGUCCUGACACCCGUUGGUCGACCUCUGGGUAUGCUAUUUUUCUUGGUGAUAACCUUGUCUCUUGGUCAUCCAAGUGUCAGCCUACUGUAUCCCGCUCUAGUGCUGAAGCAGAGUACCAUGCGGUGGCAAAUGCAGUUGCUGAGACCACCUAGCUUCGUCAGCUCCUACACGAAAUGCAUAUUACCCUGAAGCACGCCACUAUUAUCUUCUGUGACAAUGUUAGUGCAAUCUACCUCUCCUUGAACGCAAUGAAUCAUCAGCGUACGAAGCACAUUGAGAUCGAUCUACACUUCGUUCGCAAACGAGUCGCGGUCGGUACAGUUCGAGUAUUGCAUGUCUCUACCUCCUCUCAGUAUGCUGAUAUCUUCACCAAGGGAUUGCCUUCGUCUGUAUUCACUGAGUACAAGUCCAGUCUGAACGUUCUUCAGUGCGGCUGACCAAGUUCAUCCUACAAGGGGGGUGUUGGAUUACUAUGUUUAGGUUGAUUCCUUUCCCUGGUGCAAGGCUUGCAUGCCAAUAUUCCUGCGUACGUAGAUUGAUUCCAUUCCCUGGUGUAAGGCUUGCAGCCACUACUCCAGUGUACACACAUGUCAAGGUCCCAAUCAGGCGAUCACCUUCCUAGCACCGGGCACUGUUUCUAUAAACCGGUUGUCUAAGGAAGGAGUCCGACCAAUAUUUAUGUUGGUUGAUCCUCACAUUAUACUAUAAAUUAUUACUCUAUCAUCUAUGUUUGGCAAAUAUGUGUUGUAGAAAAUGGAUUCAUGGUUAUAAAGUAGAAGAAAUCUAUAUAGAUGAUUUAGAGAACUAGUUAAAUAAUGUGUAGGAGCUAAGUCUGAACUAAAACAAAAUAGUUGCUGUUUUGGGCUGCAUGUACUGUUUUUGUCGUGCCAAUUGAUUGAUGAACUAAAUUAUGUUUUCUGUAGAAUAGUCAUAUAUAAAAGUUGUAGAUAAAUUUAUUAUCUUGCUUGUGUUAAAAUUUGACAGCCAUAAGUCUGAUCGUUCAGGAGUUAUGCGUCUCACAAGUGCAAUAUCAAAAUCUGUCCAAAUUCUAUACAGGUUUGGAAAAUUGGAUUGGUUAGCUAAGCUAAACUGAGAAUCAGCCCUUAGUAAUUAUAGAAGAAUUAUAGUACUGUUUCUAAUCUUUCCAAAAAGUCUUAGAUCACCCUUUUUCUAUUAGCUUUCUAAAAAGUCUAGCAUCACCUGAUUUAGAUGCCUGAAAUUCCAGUUAUGAAUUUUUGAAGUGAGUAGUGGAAUUCUGUCCAAAUCUGGACAGAAUUUAUGUUUAGCACUGUUUGACCUUUCUAAAGGUCGAAUCUUUUUGUGAUAGUAAAAAGUUAUAGAGGACUUUAUAAGCUUUUCAGAAUGUCCUAGUUUACUAUUUUUGGAUGCAUAUUUUGUGAGUUAUGAAUAAAACAAUUAACCGCUGCGCUGCUGUCCAGAAAAUCUGCAUGUGUUAAAUUGAUUGCUUGGAGUCAUUCUUAUUUGGCUAGGUAGGAUUUGUCCAUUCUUGAUCCUUGAUUGAUGACAACUUGUUGCCUCUGAAGUGUUUAUCGAAAUGCCUUGUUAUAUUGGAGUAAUUCAUUUCGUUCUUACUGUUUGAUCUAGACUUUAGUAAUUGGGAAUGAAGUAAAUACUUUGGUGAGUGCAUUUGAAUUAGUGACAUUGAUGCCUUGUCUUAGGAAGUAUUGUCUUCUAUGUAAUCACUGGCGUUAAUAAGUCAUCAAUUGUUGUUGAUUUCUAUUUCGAGUAUCUAGGAUCAAGUAGCACCGAUAAGUCUAAUCCAAGUAAAGUAUGAAAUCUAUGUGGUACUAGAUGUGCAUGAGGAGUUUAGGUUGAAAUGCCAAUUAUGUGUAGAGUGGUAAGUUAGUAAUUUCAAUAUUUUGUAGGUAAGUGGUCUCGAGGUUACUGUGAUGAUUUAGUUGUUUGAGUGAAUAUUUAUGUGAUGGAUGCUUUACCUGCUAGCUCACAAUUGUGAUGUCUUAGCUAGUGUAUGAUUCAAGUUAUUUGGACAUGGUGGUUUAGAAAGUUAAUAGAUUUCUUCUAUCCAUAUUUUCUUCUAGAUGUAUGUUAGUGAAGAACCUAAGGUUACUAGUUUUUCGAUGAAUCCUUAAUCCUAGGAGAAUAUAGAACCCAAGUAAAACAUGUUGCUAGAUGUUUGGUUUAGGUCCAUUUGACUUGAAGGUCAUGUUUGUGUAAGGCAAAAGCAUCUAAGUAAAGUUGAAAUGUCUUGCUUUAAGUGCUUAAUCUACUUCAGGUAGCAUUAUCUAGCUCGUGCUAUUUAUACUCGUGCUCAUUCAUGUGCAUCUUGCAUAUCACAUAGGUACGUUCAUUGAUCACAUAAUGUGGAGGACAACAACUGGAAUGAUCUCAAGGUGGGACUGAUGAAUGAACCCAAAGUUGAAUGAUCUGAUCAUGCAGGAAUGGGAGAUGCUCGCCAUGUGAGUGUCAUCUAACAACACAAACAUAGUGUUAUCUUAGGCAAGCAUUGGUGCAUUUGCCCCUUCCUUGUUAUUUAAAUGCUUUAUCACUUAUAUGCCGCAUUAGGUGAUAGGAGUUGUGUGAAUAAACAAUUGAUGCAUCACCUUUCCUUAGAAUUCGAUUACUAUUCCUUGAUACAUGUUUUAUAAAAAGAACUGAUAACGCUUAUCCCUGCUUAGAAACUGAAAAAUCGUUUGUUUUAAAAAAGUAUGUUGUGGAACACUGUUAUGGACUUUUUGUUUCAAAAAUCAAAGCAAACUUAUGGUGAUGAUUCCCCUUCAUCCGGAGUGGGUUCAUCAUUCGGAAAAGAGUACCACUGCCGGGUACCAAAAAUGGGAAAAUGGUUGGAAUAAAUCUAGACCAGACACUGAGUAGGAAAGGUCACCCGUCUGUGUCGCUUAAGGACCGCAUGAUUGUUGGCCUGCUGAUCUAGGACCCUUUAACUGGCCACAUGUCUCGUCAUGGGUAAGCUUAGCCUCGGCUGGACCAAUACUAGAAAGGCUGGCCCUCAAUGGGAGUGGAGAGAUGGUGAGAGUAUCGUGUAUCCACCUGGCAAGAGGCUGGAUGGUGGGGUACUAAGCUCUCGGUUGGCGGGGACCUGUUCUGGUGUUGAGAAACCCGGGUGCAAGUUGACAUAUGCAAGGGUUAAGUGCUACAUAUGUCGUGUGGUUGGAGAUCCCCAGCUAGGUAUUAAUUGAUUCGGAUCGUCGACCUUCUCGCAUAUGAAGACUAUAUCUUCGACCCUCAUCGUAGAUAACAAGUGAAACUAAAGCUGCUAAAAUGAAGCUAGUGUAGGACAAGUGAAUGCUCUAGAUUAGGCAAAUCUAGAUUCAGGAAAAGUACUUAACUUGUGAAGUAAAAUUUUGGCAUAAGGAUCCACUACUAGUAAGCUUUUUUGCAAAAAUGAGUCUUUGAAACUUGAUGAGCCUUACCUUGAAUCCUUUUAAAACCAUCAUACACUUGAGAGUCUUUUCUUUAGUCGGGUAAGUCUUGCUGAGUAAUUGCGUACUUAGGAUUUUAUUCCCUGUUGUUUUUCAGGUUAUAACUUUGUUCUGUUGUGGAUGGUGCUAAGUGUCGGUGGGCUCGGCCUUCUCAUAUGUAUAAGUAUAUCUCAUCUAUAGUUCUUUAUUAAGGAUUGUCACAUAAGCUAGCAUGUAUUUUAAAACUUAUAAAUGUUUUAUACAUUUUAAAGUGUAAUUUUUUUGAAACACUUUCUUUUGUAAUCAACUCCGAUGAUAUAUAUUGUAACCCUGCUAUAACUUGUAACUAUUGUAACUCAUAAUCAUGUUGUAAUAAAGAAUUUAUUUCCGCUGCAAAUGUUUGUAUGUGAGUUGUGUUUACUUAA